This 510-nucleotide ribosomal RNA is filed under the name uncultured bacterium. RNAcentral's name for it is "partial 16S ribosomal RNA". It matches the Rfam family "Bacterial small subunit ribosomal RNA", at positions 28 to 507 of the family's 1533-position model. The record is from RNAcentral.
GACGAACGCUGGCGGCGUGCUUAACACAUGCAAGUCGAACGAAGAGCGACGGAAGCUUGCUUCUAUCAAUCUUAGUGGCGAACGGGUGAGUAACGCGUAAUCAACCUGCCCUUCAGAGGGGGACAACAGUUGGAAACGACUGCUAAUACCGCAUACGAUCUAACCUCGGCAUCGAGGAUAGAUGAAAGGUGGCCUCUACAUGUAAGCUAUCACUGAAGGAGGGGAUUGCGUCUGAUUAGCUAGUUGGAGGGGUAACGGCCCACCAAGGCGAUGAUCAGUAGCCGGUCUGAGAGGAUGAACGGCCACAUUGGGACUGAGACACGGCCCAGACUCCUACGGGAGGCAGCAGUGGGGAAUCUUCCGCAAUAGACGAAAGUCUGACGGAGCAACGCCGCGUGAGUGAUGACGGCCUUCGGGUUGUAAAGCUCUGUUAAUCGGGACGAAAGGCCUUCUUGCGAAUAGUGAGAAGGAUUGACGGUACCGGAAUAGAAAGCCACGGCUAACUACGUG